UUACACUAAUAGCGGUGCAGUAUUCUAGUCAGUUCUGCUGUGCGGAAAGCGGGCCUAAAAAUCCGCCAAAUGGCACAUCGAUGAAGUUUCUGGUGUCUGAGCUUCGGACGCCCAGUCCGGGGCGGAUGCUGGGAGUUAAGGUUUGGGGGCAGUUUCCAACGGCAUGGAUCACAUGACCCCCUUUCCGCGGAGGCCCGUAGCUGUGGGCGUGUCUGCCGGUUUCGGCAUAACCGCUUACGGUACGGGGGGAAACCUGUAUUGCGGUUAGUAGCCGGCGCAAUUGCGUGCGGUGAAUGCUGUGUGCAGCGUAGCCAGCCUUGAGUGGAUUUGGCGGAUAAAUGAGCAGCUUCGGCAGGAAAGCGUACGUAUCUUGUCAAGUAUCGCAUUUUGAAACUUCUUCUGCAAAAAAGGAUACGCACAUCAAAGGCUGUUUGGGAAAACUUCUAGACUGUCGAUAAUUCGGACGGAUACGGGAUUGCAGUACGGACUGAGUGGCAAUCCGGCAACUCUUUUUGAGUGGUUGCUUUUAAUGGGAAACCGCUGUUUCGGCGACGAUUCAGCAAGCAAUCGGGAAAGCCUGCCUGACCUAAGCCGUAAACUUUACCGUAUUCGUUGCCCUAUACUUAC
This 627-nucleotide small RNA is filed under the name human gut metagenome. The record is from RNAcentral.